GUAGAUACCAGAAGGAACACCGAAGGCGAAGGCAGUCAACUGGCCCGAUUCUGACGCUCAGGGACGAAAGCGUGGGGAGCGAACGGGAUUAGAUACCCCGGUAGUCCACGCCGUAAACGAUGAAUGCUAAACAUUGGUGGCAUCGACCCCCUCAGUGUUGAAGUUAACACGUUAAGCAUUCCGCCUGGGGAGUACGGUCGCAAGACUAAAACUCAAAGGAAUUGACGGGGACCCGCACAAGCGGUGGAGCACGUGGUUUAAUUCGAUGCUAAGCGGAGCACCUCACCAAGGUUUGACAUCCUAAUGACCGCCUUAAGAAAUUUUGGCUUUCCUUUUGGACAUUAGUGACUGGUGUUGCACGGUUGUCGUCAGCUCGUGUCGUGAGAUGUACGGUUAAGUCCGAUAACGAGCGCAACCCCUAUGCUGUGUUGUAUUUUUCACAGCAGACUGCCAUGGUUAACAUGGAGGAAGGUGGGGAUGACGUCAAAUCAGCGUGGCCCUUAUACCUUGGGCGACACACGUGCUACAAUGGCCAGGUCACAAUGGGUUGCGAAAUCGUAAGAUGGAGCUAAUCCCACCAAAACUGGUCUCAGUUCGGAUUGAGGGCUGCAACUCGCCCUCAUGAAGUUGGAAUCGCUAGUAACCGCAAAUCAGCCAUGUUGCGGUGAAUACGUUCUCGGGUCUUGUACACACCGCCCGUCACACCACGAAAGCUAGGGGCACCCGAAGUCUCUUUUAGGGCCGAAGGUGAAACUAGUGAUUGGGGUG
Molecule: ribosomal RNA, 768 nt
Filed under: uncultured bacterium
Lineage: Bacteria
Description: bacterial SSU rRNA
Rfam family: Bacterial small subunit ribosomal RNA
Source: RNAcentral